UCAGAAUUAACCACAAAGCUGCCGUGC
This 27-nucleotide small RNA is filed under the name Bombyx mori (domestic silkworm). RNAcentral describes it as "ovarian small RNA-25573". Lineage: Eukaryota; Metazoa; Arthropoda; Insecta; Lepidoptera; Bombycidae. The record is from RNAcentral.